This 486-nucleotide ribosomal RNA is filed under the name uncultured bacterium. Its description in RNAcentral is "SSU rRNA". It matches the Rfam family "Bacterial small subunit ribosomal RNA", at positions 27 to 518 of the family's 1533-position model. The record is from RNAcentral.
GGAACGAACGCUGGCGGCGUGGAUAAGACAUGCAAGUCGAACGGAAUUAAAUUUGUAGUAAUACACGUUUAGUUUAGUGGCGAACGGGUGCGUAACACGUGAGUAAUCUACCGAAAAGUGGGGGAUAGCUCGCCGAAAGGCGAAUUAAUACCGCAUAUGGCCAUUUUCCUAUUGGAAGAGACGCUAAAGCAGCAAUGCGCUUUUUGAUGAACUCGCGGCCUAUCAGCUAGAUGGCGGGGUAACGGCCCACCAUGGCUAUGACGGGUAGCUGGUCUGAGAGGACGACCAGCCACACUGGAACUGAGACACGGUCCAGACACCUACGGGUGGCAGCAGUCGAGAAUUUUUCACAAUAGGGGAAACCCUGAUGGAGCGACGCCGCGUGGAGGAUGAAGGCCCUCGGGUCGUAAACUCCUGUCAUGCGGGAACAAGAAAGUGAUAGUACCGCAAGAGGAAGAGACGGCUAACGUCUGUGCCAGCAGCCGC